GGCUCGGCUUCUCCUCUCUACUACGUUCGUCGAUCUCCGCCGUGUUCGAGGUCAAUUGGAGGAUACUGUUUAUGCUGUUUCCGCUACUAAUUAUGGUCUAUUUGCGGCUAGUUUCAACUUUCGGGAUGGCGGUUUGUGGAAGGUUGCGCUGUUUAAAGCGAAGGAGAGCUUGUUUCUUAGUAACUUCUAUGGAUUGUUGUCUCACGCUCGUCUCUCUGCUAUUGGACCUAGAAUUUACCUAAUUGGCCGAAAUGCGAUGUUUCUGUAUGAUACUUGGUCUGGAAUGGUCACAGCUAGAUCUGCAAUGAAUUUCUCCAGGAAGAAAUUCGCCAAUGCGGUGAUUUCCGGUAGAAUCUACGUCGCUGGCGGUGCUCCAACAACG
This 382-nucleotide long non-coding RNA is filed under the name Cucumis sativus (cucumber). Its description in RNAcentral is "long non-coding RNA (CSAT_LNC000411)". The record is from RNAcentral. Lineage: Eukaryota; Viridiplantae; Streptophyta; Magnoliopsida; Cucurbitales; Cucurbitaceae.